AUUGAACGCUGGCGGCAGGCCUAACACAUGCAAGUCGAGCGGAUGAAGGGAGCUUGCUCCUGGAUUCAGCGGCGGACGGGUGAGUAAUGCCUAGGAAUCUGCCUGGUAGUGGGGGAUAACGUCCGGAAACGGGCGCUAAUACCGCAUACGUCCUGAGGGAGAAAGUGGGGGAUCUUCGGACCUCACGCUAUCAGAUGAGCCUAGGUCGGAUUAGCUAGUUGGUGGGGUAAAGGCCUACCAAGGCGACGAUCCGUAACUGGUCUGAGAGGAUGAUCAGUCACACUGGAACUGAGACACGGUCCAGACUCCUACGGGAGGCAGCAGUGGGGAAUAUUGGACAAUGGGCGAAAGCCUGAUCCAGCCAUGACGCGUGUGUGAAGAAGGUCUUCGGAUUGUAAAGCACUUUAAGUUGGGAGGAAGGGCAGUAAGUUAAUACCUUGCUGUUUUGACGGUACCAACAGAAUAAGCACCGGCUAACUUCGUG
Molecule: ribosomal RNA, 484 nt
Filed under: uncultured bacterium
Lineage: Bacteria
Description: partial 16S ribosomal RNA
Rfam family: Bacterial small subunit ribosomal RNA
Source: RNAcentral